RNAcentral lists this ribosomal RNA (270 nucleotides) under uncultured bacterium. Its description in RNAcentral is "partial 16S ribosomal RNA". It matches the Rfam family "Bacterial small subunit ribosomal RNA", at positions 524 to 794 of the family's 1533-position model. The record is from RNAcentral.
UACGAAGGGAGCUAGCGUUUUUCGGAAUUACUGGGCGUAAAGAGCGCGUAGGCGGUUAAUUAAGUUGGAAGUGAAAGCCCAAAGCUUAACUUUGGAACUGCUUCCAAAACUGGUUAACUAGAGUUUGGUAGGGGAUGAUGGAAUUCCUGGUGUAGAGGUGAAAUUCUUAGAUAUCAGGAGGAACACCGGUGGCGAAGGCGAUCAUCUGGGCCAUAACUGACGCUGAGGCGCGAAAGCGUGGGGAGCAAACAGGAUUAGAUACCCUGUAGU